UAACAAGGAUUCCCCUAGUAACUGCGAGUGAAGCGGGAAAAGCUCAAAUUUAAAAUCUGGCGGUCUUUGGCCGUCCGAGUUGUAGUCUGGAGAAGUGCUUUCCGCGCUGGACCGUGUACAAGUCUCUUGGAACAGAGCGUCAUAGAGGGUGAGAAUCCCGUCUUUGACACGGACUACCAGUGCUUUGUGAUGCGCUCUCAAAGAGUCGAGUUGUUUGGGAAUGCAGCUCUAAAUGGGUGGUAAAUUCCAUCUAAAGCUAAAUAUUGGCGAGAGACCGAUAGCGAACAAGUACCGUGAGGGAAAGAUGAAAAGCACUUUGGAAAGAGAGUUAAACAGUACGUGAAAUUGCUGAAAGGGAAACGCUUGAAGUCAGUCGCGUUGGCCGGGACUCAGCCUUGCUUUUUGCUUGGUGCAUUUUCCGGUCGACGGGCCAGCAUCGAUUUUGACCGUCGGAAAAGGGCUAGGGAAAUGUGGCACCUUCGGGUGUGUUAUAGUCUCUAGUCGCAUGCGGCGGUUGGGAUCGAGGAACGCAGCGCGCCGCAAGGCAGGGGUUCGCCCACUUUCGCGCUUAGGAUGCUGGCAUAAUGGCUUUAAACGACCCGUCUUGAAACACGGACCAAGGAGUCUAACUUACCUGCGAGUGUUUGGGUGGAAAACCCGAGCGCGUAAUGAAAGUGAAAGUUGAGACCUCUGUCGUGGAGGGCAUCGACGCCCGGACCUGACGUUCUCUGACGGAUCCGCGGUAGAGCAUGUAUGUUGGGACCCGAAAGAUGGUGAACUAUGCCUGAAUAGGGUGAAGCCAGAGGAAACUCUGGUGGAGGCUCGUAGCGAUUCUGACGUGCAAAUCGAUCGUCAAAUUUGGG
Molecule: ribosomal RNA, 863 nt
Filed under: Fomes fomentarius
Lineage: Eukaryota; Fungi; Basidiomycota; Agaricomycetes; Polyporales; Polyporaceae
Description: partial large subunit ribosomal RNA
Rfam family: Eukaryotic large subunit ribosomal RNA
Source: RNAcentral